RNAcentral lists this long non-coding RNA (343 nucleotides) under Phoenix dactylifera (date palm). Its description in RNAcentral is "long non-coding RNA (PDAC_LNC010823)". The record is from RNAcentral. Lineage: Eukaryota; Viridiplantae; Streptophyta; Magnoliopsida; Arecales; Arecaceae.
UAAUAAAAACUUCUUUAUCCUUAACUAAUGUAUCAUACUUACGGAGGUGAGUUUGGUUAGUUAGUUUUAAUUCUUUGUUUUUAAGGUUUAUUGUCUUGUAUUCAUCUAUUAAUUCAUUGAAGGCAUCAUAUAAUUCAUCAAACGUAAAAUCUAAAUGUGUUCCGGAAGUUACCUCAAUGUCGUUAGCCAUAAAGCAAAAGUUGGCCUUUUCUUCUUGUUCUUCAUCUGAUGAUGAUGAUGAUGUGUCGGAGUCCGAUAGGGUGGAGACGAGGACUUUCUUCUUCUUGUACUUGCUCCCCUUCUUCAGCAAGGGACACUCAGCUCUGAAGUGCCCCGGCUUCUU